RNAcentral lists this ribosomal RNA (729 nucleotides) under Lacticaseibacillus paracasei. Its description in RNAcentral is "bacterial SSU rRNA". It matches the Rfam family "Bacterial small subunit ribosomal RNA", at positions 70 to 774 of the family's 1533-position model. The record is from RNAcentral. Lineage: Bacteria; Bacillati; Bacillota; Bacilli; Lactobacillales; Lactobacillaceae.
UGAUCGGUGCUUGCACCGAGAUUCAACAUGGAACGAGUGGCGGACGGGUGAGUAACACGUGGGUAACCUGCCCUUAAGUGGGGGAUAACAUUUGGAAACAGAUGCUAAUACCGCAUAGAUCCAAGAACCGCAUGGUUCUUGGCUGAAAGAUGGCGUAAGCUAUCGCUUUUGGAUGGACCCGCGGCGUAUUAGCUAGUUGGUGAGGUAAUGGCUCACCAAGGCGAUGAUACGUAGCCGAACUGAGAGGUUGAUCGGCCACAUUGGGACUGAGACACGGCCCAAACUCCUACGGGAGGCAGCAGUAGGGAAUCUUCCACAAUGGACGCAAGUCUGAUGGAGCAACGCCGCGUGAGUGAAGAAGGCUUUCGGGUCGUAAAACUCUGUUGUUGGAGAAGAAUGGUCGGCAGAGUAACUGUUGUCGGCGUGACGGUAUCCAACCAGAAAGCCACGGCUAACUACGUGCCAGCAGCCGCGGUAAUACGUAGGUGGCAAGCGUUAUCCGGAUUUAUUGGGCGUAAAGCGAGCGCAGGCGGUUUUUUAAGUCUGAUGUGAAAGCCCUCGGCUUAACCGAGGAAGCGCAUCGGAAACUGGGAAACUUGAGUGCAGAAGAGGACAGUGGAACUCCAUGUGUAGCGGUGAAAUGCGUAGAUAUAUGGAAGAACACCAGUGGCGAAGGCGGCUGUCUGGUCUGUAACUGACGCUGAGGCUCGAAAGCAUGGGUAGCGAACA